AUCAGUGGCGAACGGGUGAGUAACACGUGAGCAAUCUGCCCUUGACUCUGGGAUAACUGCGGGAAACUGUAGCUAAUACCGGAUAUUACCUUGGAAGGCAUCUUCUGGGGUGGAAAGAUUUAUUGGUGGGGGAUGGACUCGCGGCCUAUCAGCUUGUUGGUGAGGUAAUGGCUUACCAAGGCGACGACGGGUAGCCGGCCUGAGAGGGUGAUCGGCCACACUGGGACUGAGACACGGCCCAGACUCCUACGGGAGGCAGCAGUGGGGAAUAUUGCACAAUGGGCGCAAGCCUGAUGCAGCAACGCCGCGUGAGGGACGACGGCCUUCGGGUUGUAAACCUCUUUUAGUAGGGAAGAAGCGACUGGGUUUUCCUGGGAGUGACGGUACCUGCAGAAAAAGCACCGGCUAACUACGUGCCAGCAGCCGCGGUAAUACGUAGGGUGCAAGCGUUGUCCGGAAUUAUUGGGCGUAAAGAGCUCGUAGG
This 484-nucleotide ribosomal RNA is filed under the name uncultured Cryobacterium sp. Its description in RNAcentral is "bacterial SSU rRNA". It matches the Rfam family "Bacterial small subunit ribosomal RNA", at positions 91 to 575 of the family's 1533-position model. The record is from RNAcentral. Lineage: Bacteria; Bacillati; Actinomycetota; Actinomycetes; Micrococcales; Microbacteriaceae.